Cricetulus griseus (Chinese hamster) is the source of this 2634-nucleotide non-coding RNA. The record is from RefSeq and is a predicted model, not a curated record. NCBI's taxonomy places the organism in Eukaryota, Metazoa, Chordata, Mammalia, Rodentia, Cricetidae.
CUUUGGUACUUGCUGUACAGACUGCUGCCAUGCCGGCUGGCUAGGUUGCUCUCUGACUGACUGCUGCCAAAUGCCGCGGACUAACUAAAUACUUUUGCCACCCACUGGUCAAAGAUAGUUACUGCAUCUGGAGUAGAAAUCAGGUCUGCUAUGGGAAAAAGCUGGUCAUUAGAGGAAUGCCUUGUGAUCUACAAUGAUAUCAAGGGGACAUGUCUCUACCUUCUAAGUUGGAAGAAGAUCUCUACAGUAGGAAUCACUCCAAGGACUUUCCAUAUCCAGAAGGCUGGUCCUUGAUUGAAACCAAUUCUUAUCACUCAUCAUAAGGAGCAAGGACCCAUACUAUGUCAAACAACACAAGGAAAGAUAGCCAUAUCAGGAUUUCACACACAAAUCCAUCCUCAUAUAGAUCAACCUGUUCCCUGAUUCAGUACCUAGUGUAGAGGCCUUCUCUCCCUCCCAAUUCAUCUUCAUUUUUCUUGUCCUUGUUCAGUUAUCAAGUGUAUUGUGUGGCUUUUCCUAUAGAGAUGUGUGCAAACAUCUGUUGACCCCAAUUAGAUCACUAACAAAAUGUGUAAGAAAUGAUUCCAUUGAAGUUUAACUCAUUGAAUCUUGACUUUAUGGGUUUAUAAGCAGAGAUUAAUCACUGGAACAUGUGUAUUUCAAAGGCAGGGGCAACAUUAAAAAGCCUAGCACAUCAAGGAUGAUUAAAAAUGAAAGAAUAUAUUCCUGGAAAUCCCUGUACAACCUGCAUCACACUGUGAACUGACUACACAAGAAAAUUGGUAGUAUUUAAGAUAUAGCAAUGGAAAGGGAUUUAUAGUUAUUGGGAAUGUGAAAAGAAAAACAUCCUUGAUUUCCUUAAGUUUUGUUUAUUUCCUGAAUAUUAUGAAACACCAGUAUGUUUUAAUUGGGAAGAAAACUAUACAUAACAAUAAUAAUCAGAAAAAGCAAAACCACAACAUUAGAAAUAUCCCAAAAGAAAGCCAUUAAGUCUUUGAACUGUGACAGAUAUUCAAACUUUUAACCAGAAAGAUUAGAUGAUACAAUUAACAUCCUACAGAGAUUACUUAGCUCAUUUCGAUCAGUUAUUUUUGAAGUGUGAAAAUAUAAAUGUUUGAAAAAUGGAAGUUUGCAAUAAAAUUCGAGAAAAUAUCACAAACAGAAUCUGUUGUGGGGAAUAUUAGAACACUAAUAUAUAAGAAAUGUGUAAAUUUCUGGCUAGAAAUUAGCAAGUUGUCAUGUCAUGGAAGUUUAUUUGAACUUGAUAUGAUGGUGCUAAUUUUAGUGAGAAGGAAGCACAUGCCUAACAUAAUAGUUACCACAGAAUUUGUAAUGAUGUCUAUCAUGAAGUUGUACAAGGACCAGUUGCAUGAAGUUGUGCUGAAAUAAUGUUUUGGAAGAUAACUCAAUUAAGAAGGCAAUACAUAAAGGAUUGAUCAAAGUUGAUGUGGAUGUCACUAAAGUAAAACUUACAAAAUUCGGCAAGUUUGAAUGAUAUUAAGAAGUUUAGAACUAGUAAAAUAUGUAUAUUAGAUAAAAGUGAUAGGGUUUCGACAUACAUAAUUUAUUCACUAGUUAGUAUACAACAUUAGAGAAUGUAUUAUCAUGACUAAUUUCUCUUUUCCCUUAGUUAUAUUUUGCAGGUAUAGGAUAUCACUACAUUUGGUUUUCUUUUAGUAAAAAGGAAGGAAAUGGGACAGCUGUUAAAGUAAAUUACAGGAACACAUGACAGUAAUUAAUUUGGAAACCAUAAUUUGUUUCUGUAAAGAUUAACAUUUACUUCUUCCAAAUGCACCAAACAUUCUAAUACGACAGAAGAUCUGACAAAAGUAGGAAGAAAAAUCUUUUUUUUUUUUUUUAGUUUUUUGUAAAACUAAGUAGGUAAAUAAUAGCAUUGACAAAAUUGUUCCUUCCUCAGCUUUCAGGAGAAAUUGACAGAAGUUAGAAGAAAUGUCAGUUUUACUUAAGUGCUACCAUAUUCAAGAAACUUGAAUUUUAGCAUUGCCAAAGAAGAGGUACAGAAAGAAUGAAGGGUAAUUUUAGCAAUAUUUAAGUCAUGAUAAGUGAGUGUCUUUUGGUGAAAGAGAAAUUGCUAUAAAGAUAUUUUCUUUGUUAAGACUUAAAUUAAAAACUCCAAUCUUAUGUAAAAUAAACAUUCCUUCCUAAAAGAUUAGUUAAGAUCUGAAAGUUUGCUCUUUUUCCCCCUUUGAUUUACUGUGUCUGUACAAAUCAUAUUUGCAUGCAUAUUCAGAAAAUAAGUGUCUUUUCAUCUACAAGAGCCUAUGAAAAUACUGGCAUUGAAGUUAACACAGCAUGUAUAAAUGAUAUCUGUCAUAAAGUUCUGGCAUUUGUUUCACCUUCUGCCUGGAGUCCAGGAGCUUUGCUGCCUCUUAUGUAUGUGCCUUCUAUCUGCAGGAUGUGAAAUGAAUCAUCAAAUCUUCUCUACUGUAAUGAGAGUAGAGAAACCUGCUGUAGCUAGUUCACAAAAACGAUGGCUGUCUCCUGCCAGAGUGAUGCAUUAUUAUAACCACGUAGAUUGUGUGAAACAGUUUCCUUUGCAAGAACAAGAAGGCAGCUUCUGAACUGAUAAAAUUAUUUUUACAGCAUUGGAAUUAAAAAAAAAGUCAAACUCGA